RNAcentral lists this ribosomal RNA (255 nucleotides) under uncultured bacterium. RNAcentral's name for it is "partial 16S ribosomal RNA". It matches the Rfam family "Bacterial small subunit ribosomal RNA", at positions 526 to 779 of the family's 1533-position model. The record is from RNAcentral.
CGUAGGGGGCAAGCGUUGUCCGGAAUUAUUGGGCGUAAAGGGCGCGCAGGCGGCCUCUUAAGUCAGUUGUGAAAAGGUCCCGGCUCAACCGGGGAGUUGCAGCUGAAACUGGGGGGCUUGAGUGCAGGAGAGGAGAGUGGAAUUCUCGGUGUAGCGGUGGAAUGCGUAGAGAUCGGGAGGAACACCAGUGGCGAAGGCGGCUCUCUGGCCUGUUACUGACGCUGAGGCGCGAAAGCGUGGGGAGCGAACAGGAUU